Molecule: long non-coding RNA, 1457 nt
Organism: Cyprinus carpio (common carp)
Lineage: Eukaryota; Metazoa; Chordata; Actinopteri; Cypriniformes; Cyprinidae
Exons: 3
Source: RefSeq, a predicted model, not a curated record
UAUAAAUUCUUCCCAAAGUUCAUAAAUCAUAAUGUACCGGGAAGACCAGUUGUUGAGGGGAAUACAUUUGUUUGUACAUAAGUUUGUUGAUGUACAUUUGCGUCCUUUAGUGGUUAAUAUUCCAUCGUAUUUACAAGACACAAGCUACUUUAUAAAUCUUUUAUUGUUGGUACCUAUUUAGUUUCUUUGGAUGUGGUUAGCUCAUGUACAACCAUCCCACAUGAAUAGGUUUGGAGUCUUUGAGGUUUUAUUUAGAUCUUUGUGAAGAUAUUAACUCUCCACCUGCUGUAUUGGUAUAUAUGGCAAGAUUGAUUCUUACUAAAAAUUAUUUUCUGUAUGACAAUGAUUGCUAUUUGCAAACACAAGGUAUUGCGAUGUGUUCUUCUUUCACACUGGAUUUAGCAAUUGAAUUUAAGCAAGGAGGAAAGGUUAGUGUUUUUCAACAACCCCUUCUCCAGUAAACUUCUGUUUUAUCAGAGAUAUUUCAACAGCAUUUUUAUACUUUUCAAGGGCUCACAGGAGGAAUUACAAUCUUUUUACAUAUAUAUGAAUAGUUUUUGUGGUUUGAUUAAAUGCAAUAUGUAGUGUAAUGAUGGAGAGCUUCCAUUUCUUGAUACUAAAGUUUUGAAAGUUGAUCAAACCUUAAAGGUGUAUCGUAAACUGACAGAUAGAAACAGUCUAAUACGUGCUUCAAGAAGCCAUGUUGGACCAUUAUAGCAGGGUUUACCCUGUUCUUAAGAUUUAAACGUAUUUGUUCUUAUAGAACAGACUUUGAUCUUGCGUCAAGAAAACUGUAUGAUCCAUUUUUAGCAUGAGGAUAUAAAAGGCUGGAUUCAGCCUUGGAAAAAGUGAAUAAUUUAGAUGAUGUUUCGAUUAAGGAAUUGUAGUGGGGUGGAGGUAGUACUGGUAGUGGCUCUAUAUUAGGCUUGUUUAGUACUACAAAUGUGUUGGACUACAAAUCCCAUGAGUCCAAGUACUGUUAAGAGGAUAUCCAACUUUUUGGCCUUCCUAUUUGUGGUACCAUGUGCCAAGCAGGAGAAGCUGUGUGGCAUGUUUCAAGGCUGUGUGAUGGAUGAAACGACUAGUUGCCUUGUGAACAGGGUGGAGUGUGCUUACUGGAGAUAUACUGAUGGGUGUCUCAGAGAAUUGAGUAGAUUUAUUCAAUAACAAAGAUGAUGCGUGAUUGUCGUUUACUUUUAUUGAAAAUAUUGGAGGCUUGAUGUUAGGUCGUAAGAUAUGACUUUAAAUGUUAUAAGUGGCUUGAAUUUGUGAGAUUGUGUUUUUGUUUUGUUUGAACCAGCAAACAGCAGGGUUCCCAAUUUCUUACACAUAGUUGACUCUGUAAAGGUGAGAGGGAGCAAUUUGUAGUGGUCUGAGUCAAGUGAGUGUUGGGUUUUGACACUUGUAGUGUUAUUUGGUUUCAUGCUGUGAUUGUGAGUAUUUUUUUUUUUGUUUUU